UACGGAGGGUGCAAGCGUUAUCCGGAUUUACUGGGUUUAAAGGGUGCGUAGGUGGGUUGGUAAGUCAGUGGUGAAAUCUUCGAGCUUAACUCGGAAACUGCCAUUGAUACUAUCAAUCUUGAAUUAUCUGGAGGUAAGCGGAAUAUGUCAUGUAGCGGUGAAAUGCUUAGAUAUGACAUAGAACACCCAUUGCGAAGGCAGCUUACUACGGAUACAUUGACACUGAGGCACGAAAGCGUGGGGAUCAAACAGG
Molecule: ribosomal RNA, 253 nt
Filed under: uncultured bacterium
Lineage: Bacteria
Description: partial 16S ribosomal RNA
Rfam family: Bacterial small subunit ribosomal RNA
Source: RNAcentral